UACGUAGGUGGCAAGCGUUGUUCGGAAUUAUUGGGCGUAAAGGGCGCGUAGGCGGUUUGUUAAGUCAGCUGUGAAAGCCCGGGGCUCAACCCCGGAGGGUCAGCUGAUACUGGCAGACUAGAGUACAGAAGAGGUAACUGGAAUUCUCGGUGUAGCGGUGAAAUGCGUAGAUAUCGAGAGGAACACCUGCGGCGAAGGCGGGUUGCUGGGCUGAUACUGACGCUGAGGAGCGAAAGCGUGGGGAGCGAACAGG
This 253-nucleotide ribosomal RNA is filed under the name uncultured bacterium. RNAcentral's name for it is "partial 16S ribosomal RNA". It matches the Rfam family "Bacterial small subunit ribosomal RNA", at positions 524 to 776 of the family's 1533-position model. The record is from RNAcentral.